GACGAACGCUGGCGGCGUGCUUAACACAUGCAAGUCGAACGAUGAUGCCAGCUUGCUGGUGGAUUAGUGGCGAACGGGUGAGUAACACGUGAGCAACCUGCCCCUGACUUCGGGAUAACCGCGGGAAACCGUGGCUAAUACCGGAUAUGACGCGCUAUCGCAUGGUGGUGCGUGGAAAGAUUUAUCGGUUGGGGAUGGGCUCGCGGCCUAUCAGCUUGUUGGUGGGGUGAUGGCCUACCAAGGCGACGACGGGUAGCCGGCCUGAGAGGGUGACCGGCCACACUGGGACUGAGACACGGCCCAGACUCCUACGGGAGGCAGCAGUGGGGAAUAUUGCACAAUGGGCGCAAGCCUGAUGCAGCGACGCCGCGUGAGGGAUGACGGCCUUCGGGUUGUAAACCUCUUUCAGUAGGGAAGAAGGCCUUCGGGUUGACGGUACCUGCAGAAGAAGCGCCGGCUAACUACGUGC
This 469-nucleotide ribosomal RNA is filed under the name uncultured bacterium. RNAcentral describes it as "partial 16S ribosomal RNA". It matches the Rfam family "Bacterial small subunit ribosomal RNA", at positions 28 to 508 of the family's 1533-position model. The record is from RNAcentral.